GGGAUGUAGCUCAGUGGUAGAGCACUCGCCUAGCACAUGCCAGGCUCUGGGUUCAAUCCCUAGCAUCACCA
This 71-nucleotide transfer RNA is filed under the name Neotoma lepida (desert woodrat). It matches the Rfam family "tRNA". From Rfam's summary of the family: Transfer RNA (tRNA) molecules are approximately 80 nucleotides in length. Their secondary structure includes four short double-helical elements and three loops (D, anti-codon, and T loops). Further hydrogen bonds mediate the characteristic L-shaped molecular structure. tRNAs have two regions of fundamental functional importance: the anti-codon, which is responsible for specific mRNA codon recognition, and the 3' end, to which the tRNAs corresponding amino acid is attached (by aminoacyl-tRNA synthetases). tRNAs cope with the degeneracy of the genetic code in two manners: having more than one tRNA (with a specific anti-codon) for a particular amino acid; and 'wobble' base-pairing, i.e. permitting non-standard base-pairing at the 3rd anti-codon position. Lineage: Eukaryota; Metazoa; Chordata; Mammalia; Rodentia; Cricetidae. The record is from Rfam by way of RNAcentral.